UACAGGGGUCUCGAGCGUUAAUCGGAAUCACUGGGCUUAAAGGGUGCGUAGGCGGGCCCGUAAGCAUUCCGUGAAAGCCCCCGGCUCAACCGGGGAACAGCGGGGUGUACUGCGGGCCUCGAGGCAGACAGGGGCGGUCGGAACUGUAGGUGGAGCGGUGAAAUGCGUAGAUAUCUACAGGAACGCCGAUGGUGAAGACGGGCCGCUGGGUCUGACCUGACGCUGAGGCACGAAAGCGUGGGGAUCAAACAGG
RNAcentral lists this ribosomal RNA (253 nucleotides) under uncultured bacterium. Its description in RNAcentral is "partial 16S ribosomal RNA". It matches the Rfam family "Bacterial small subunit ribosomal RNA", at positions 524 to 776 of the family's 1533-position model. The record is from RNAcentral.